RNAcentral lists this ribosomal RNA (755 nucleotides) under uncultured bacterium. Its description in RNAcentral is "bacterial SSU rRNA". It matches the Rfam family "Bacterial small subunit ribosomal RNA", at positions 9 to 783 of the family's 1533-position model. The record is from RNAcentral.
GAGUUUGAUCAUGGCUCAGGAUAAACGCUGGCGGCGUGCCUAAUGCAUGCAAGUCGCACGGAGUGUCCCUUCGGGGGCAUUGAGUGGCGAACGGGUGAGGAACGCGUGGACAACCUACCCCGGCGUGGGGGAUACCCGCCAGAAAUGGCGGCUAAUACCGCGUACGGUUGCUUGGCGAGGGGCUGAGCAAAGAAAGCAGUAAUGCGCGCUGGGAGGGGUCUGCGGCCGAUUAGCUUGUUGGCGGGGUAACGGCCCACCAAGGCGAUGAUCGGUAGCUGGUCUGAGAGGAUGAUCAGCCACACGGGGACUGAGACACGGCCCCGACUCCUACGGGAGGCAGCAGCAAGGAAUUUUCCGCAAUGGGGGCAACCCUGACGGAGCAACGCCGCGUGACGGAUGACGCCUCUUGGGGUGUAAACGUCUUUUGCCGAGGGAGAGAAUGGACGGUACUCGGCGAAUAAGGACCGGCUAACUACGUGCCAGCAGCCGCGGUAAUACGUAGGGUCCGAGCGUUGUCCGGAAUUACUGGGCGUAAAGCGUGCGCAGGCGGCCCGUGAGGUGUCACGUGAAAGCCCCGGGCUCAACCCGGGAGGGUCGUGGCAAACCGGCGGGCUUGAGGCCGGUAGAGGUGGGUGGAACUCCUGGUGGAGUGGUGAAAUGCGUAGAGAUCAGGAAGAACACCCGUGGCGAAGGCGGCCCACUGGGCCGGUACUGACGCUGAGGCACGAAGGCGUGGGGAGCGAACGGGAUUAGAU